AGCGUAGACGGUGUGGCAAGUCUGAUGUGAAAGGCAUGGGCUCAACCUGUGGACUGCAUUGGAAACUGUCAUACUUGAGUGCCGGAGGGGUAAGCGGAAUUCCUAGUGUAGCGGUGAAAUGCGUAGAUAUUAGGAGGAACACCAGUGGCGAAGGCGACUAUCUGGACCAGCACUGACACUGAGGCACGAAAGCGUGGGGAGCAAACA
This 207-nucleotide ribosomal RNA is filed under the name uncultured bacterium. RNAcentral's name for it is "partial 16S ribosomal RNA". It matches the Rfam family "Bacterial small subunit ribosomal RNA", at positions 568 to 774 of the family's 1533-position model. The record is from RNAcentral.